RNAcentral lists this long non-coding RNA (3684 nucleotides) under Brassica napus (rape). RNAcentral's name for it is "long non-coding RNA (BNAP_LNC020607)". The record is from RNAcentral. Lineage: Eukaryota; Viridiplantae; Streptophyta; Magnoliopsida; Brassicales; Brassicaceae.
UUUGUGGUAUGAAAUGAAAUUAUGUUUUAUGUGAUCUUCAUAAUCCUCUUAAAGAAAUCUGUGUGACUCUAAUGAUUCUUACUGAAUGAGGAAUUGAUUUAGAGAUCAGAGAGUAAAGAGCAGCUGCGACAAGGCACGAGAGGAAUCUCACAACGCAUUAUCAUUAGCAGGUAUGAAACAGAUGAGAAGAUCCUCUAUAUAUAAAUUUGUGUCCGUGUGUAUUUGUGUUGUUCAUGUACAUAUGCAGUUUUUUUAAGCGCCUUUAUUGAACUUCGAGUACUAGAGCAAAUGAUAAUAUGGUUUAGCCAAAAGCCACAUGAGGCUUCAGUGAUGUCUCUCUUAAAUUUUUUAAUUCAUAUAUUUUACAGAAAAAAGAUGCAACACUACUAGACUUAACAACAUUAACAGGAAAUAAUCGUUUUUGGGUGGGAGUCACAAACACAAACUGAACUCUAAACCUGCCUGAUGAUGAGUCCAUUAUAGAUAUUAAUUAGAUUCCCCUGUAGCAGAGAUUUCAUCUUAUUUAAGUCAAGCCUCAUAUUUUUCAUCCUCAUAUAACAACGUACAAGCAGCUAACAUUCACAUGCUUUACCACUUUUUUUAGUUGAAACUGAAGCUUUUUUUCUUCGUUUUGGAGACUAACAAAAUGGGAUUUAUUUAACAUAAUCAUAAUUUAUUUUAAGAGGACUAAUUUAAAUUGCAAAUAUAUUUUGAUGGAUCAAACUGUGUUAUAAAUAAAUCAACACAGUUUAUUUGAAUUGAAUAACAUCAAUUUGUUCAACACAUUUUAUUAUGUUGAACAAAUUGUUGUUAUUCAAUCAAUGAUAUUAGAAUCCUCUUAAAAUAAAGAGAAAAUUGGAUAAAUGAGAUAUUUAGAAUUUGGUUUUGUCCCAAUAGAAUUUUUUGAUUUUAGGCUAUUUUGGAUACAUUUUACUUUUUGUAAUGAAAAAAAUAAUAAAUUAAAAAUAUAAAAUAUAAAAAAAUAUAAAAACUAUUAGAAACAUAAAUAUGAAUAAUUAUAGGUUUUACUUUCUUAUAAAAACAGUAAAAUCAUAUUUUAUUUUAUAUCAUAUCUGAGCAUAAAAUACUCAUUUUGGUCAUACACUAAUCUAGUUUUGAUAUAUAACGCAAACAAAAUUUUCUUAUAUAUUCUAUCUUACCUACAAUUCGUUCAUUUGUAUUCUGGCAAGAUAUCGUUCGUCUACGUAAAGUUUCUAGAAUUAACUAUAUGUUUUACCUUAUCUUGUUUAUGUGUCGUCACAUGAUUAAUUUAGCUGUUACCUAAUGCUACGCGUAACAAAUAAUAGAUUUCUCACCUACUAUGUAGUGUAGUACUCUACGUAAAAUCUAUUAUAAAUAAAUCACGAAAAUAUGGAAACUUCCAUAUUUCGGUUAAUAUAUUUCCUAAAUCUACAUGAAAUAAUCUCGCAUAAUAUCUUCCCUUCUACGCUUUUCUCUAUUACAAAGUUUGUGGCCGAUUUGAAAACCACCAAGAGAAGAGAGACUAUUCUGAAAUUACGAGUUCUGAAAUGCACAAAUGAAAGUUUUGGUUUGAUUCAAGAGGUCAUGCCUACACAUGAAGAAACUUUGGGGCUGAAAUAAAAUAUAUCAGAAGCUUAAGGAUUUAAUGGGCAAAAAUGAAAAACUCUAAUAUUGUUGUUCGAGUCCGUGAUGAUGGCAUCUGAAGAUCUGGCGGCGACUGAAGAUCCAGUGACGACUGAGAUGCUCCGGUCUUGAUGUAGCGAGACUUAGUGUUGGCUAAGCAACUUUCAGAGGUUUGUGAUGAAGUUACAAGUCAACUUAUCGAAGAAGAUGGUCGUGGUGGCUUGUUUAACGUAAAACACGUUUUUCUAUUUCACUUGUUUUUACUUAACAAAAUUAUAUUAAGAAAAUAAUUAAUAAAUAUUAUAUAUUCUAAAUAAAUUUAAUUUAGAUUAAUUUAAUGGUAUAAUAGUAUUAACAUUAAUUAAAAUUUUAAUGAGAAAAAAAUCUUAGAUUAAAUUUUAGUGGGACAAAUCCAAGUUUUAAGUGUUUGAUUUUCCAAUUUUCUCAAUAAUAAACCGAUUCUUAUUUGCAUUGAAAAUAUAUUUUGAUGGAUUUUAAUUUGAAUUGCAAAUAAAUCAAAUGAUAUUAUGUUGAAAAAAAUUGUUGUUACUCAAUCAAUAAUAUUAGAAUCCUCUUAACAAAUUUGGAUUUAUUUAACAUAAUCAUAAUUUAUUUUAAGAGGAUUUUAAUCUAUUGUGAGAGGAUUCUAAUAUGAAUUGCAGUGAUUAUGUUAAAUAAAUCAAAUGGUAUUAUGUUGAACAAAUUGUUGAAUUGGAAAUAUAUUUUGAUGGAUUGCAAAAUAUAUUUAAAUCAUUGAUUCAAUAACAACAAUUUGUUCAACAUAAUAUCAUUUGAUUUAUUUAACAUAAUCAUAAUUUAUUUUUAAGAGGAUUCUAAUUUGAAUCGUAAUUCCAAACUUAUAGACAAUAUUAUCAUAAAAAACCAUUAAUACAAGAUGGAAAAAAUAUUUUAUAUUAUUAUUAUGGAAAACUAGAAAGAUGAAUUUGAUCAAUGUAAUGCAAAGUUUGGUCAAAUGAUGAAAGCUAUUUUCUAGAUUUGAUCAAUUAACAAUGAAAAAGUCAUAUGUUAACUUUAUAAAAAAAAUGGGGACGUUGGAUUUAUAACUAAAAACUGUUCAUAUAUUUCCUAGAUAUAGAAAAUCUGAUUGGAAAUGAGAAAUUUUUCCAUUAGAUGAGUGUUUUUUCGUAGUUCAAAAAAAAAGAGAAUUUAUUUAAAAUACCACAAGUUAAAUAUCACUUUUGGAAAUAUUUUCAAUCAAAAAUAUACUAAUAUUUGGGUUUAGACUUUAUUGAUUAGUGUUUAGGGGAUGGGGUUGGGUUUAUAUAAGUGUCAAAAAUAUCUUGAAAAUUUAUCUUAAGUGUUAUUUUAUCAUAAAUUUCAAGUUUUUAUGAAAGUAGUCAUUAAUUAAUGAUAAAUAUGAAAAAUGGUAUCAAACUUGUGGUAGAAUUGAAAUUUUUCUCAAAAAAAUGAGUAUUGUUUCAUCGUAUCAUAUUUUUUAUUGAAUUUUGGUUUUAGUAGAAACUGUUUAUAAAAUCAAGAGAUAAUAGGUUAGAUUAUGACUCAUAUAUUUUACACAUAAAACAUAAUUUAAAUCCGUUUCAAAGUAUUUCAAGUCAAAUGAAUUGUCAAAUUUUAUCAAAUAUGAAUAACACGAGAUUUUAAGUCUUUUGUAUGAAUUCUUUAAUUGAAUAACAAUAUAUUACAAAUUCAUUAAAUAUAAGAACCAAUAAUCUUAGAUUUUAAAAUCUUUUAACAAAAAAGAUUUUAAAUACAGUUAACCAAUAUAAAAGAUUUAAAAUCAAUCAUUGAAUAACACUACAUUAUAAAACCGAGAGAAUUAACUUUAAAUCCACUGAUCUUUAUAAAUUCUAUCUUUGUUAAUGGAUUUACAAAGUAUUGUGGUUCUUCUCUCCAUCUAAACCGCGUUUAUGACAUUCUUGAAAUUGUGGGAUGUUAUGUUUUCUGUGAUCUUGAUAUAGAGAUUAGAGAGUAAAAAUGCAGUUGGGACGAGGCAUGAAAAGAAUCUCACAAGUCACAAUGCAUUAUCAUCAAGUGUGAAACAGAUGAGAAGAUCCUGUAUAAACUUAUUCAGGUUUACCAUAUUGCAAAAGAUCCCAA